This 238-nucleotide ribosomal RNA is filed under the name uncultured bacterium. RNAcentral describes it as "partial 16S ribosomal RNA". It matches the Rfam family "Bacterial small subunit ribosomal RNA", at positions 15 to 229 of the family's 1533-position model. The record is from RNAcentral.
GAUCAUGGCUAAGGACGAACGCUGGCGGCGUGCUUAACACAUGCAAGUCGAACGAAGAGCGAUGGAAGCUUGCUUCUAUCAAUCUUAGUGGCGAACGGGUGAGUAACGCGUAAUCAACCUGCCCUUCAGAGGGGGGACAACAGUUGGAAACGACUGCUAAUACCGCAUACGAUCUAACCUCGGCAUCGAGGAUAGAUGAAAGGUGGCCUCUAUUUAUAAGCUAUCACUGAAGGAGGGG